Molecule: non-coding RNA, 84 nt
Organism: Thozetella sp. PMI_491
Lineage: Eukaryota; Fungi; Ascomycota; Sordariomycetes; Chaetosphaeriales; Chaetosphaeriaceae
Source: the annotation of a GenBank genome assembly
GCGUCGGUGGUUUAGUGGUAAAAUCCACGCUUGCCAUAGCAAGCAUAUCUGCGUGGGCCCCGGGUUCGAUUCCCGGCCGACGCA